AGAGUUUGAUCAUGGCUCAGAUUGAACGCUGGCGGCAGGCCUAACACAUGCAAGUCGAGCGGUAGCACAGAGAGCUUGCUCUCGGGUGACGAGCGGCGGACGGGUGAGUAAUGUCUGGGAAACUGCCUGAUGGAGGGGGAUAACUACUGGAAACGGUAGCUAAUACCGCAUGACGUCGCAAGACCAAAGUGGGGGACCUUCGGGCCUCAUGCCAUCAGAUGUGCCCAGAUGGGAUUAGCUGGUAGGUGGGGUAACGGCUCACCUAGGCGACGAUCCCUAGCUGGUCUGAGAGGAUGACCAGCCACACUGGAACUGAGACACGGUCCAGACUCCUACGGGAGGCAGCAGUGGGGAAUAUUGCACAAUGGGCGCAAGCCUGAUGCAGCCAUGCCGCGUGUGUGAAGAAGGCCUUCGGGUUGUAAAGCACUUUCAGCGGGGAGGAAGGCGGUGAGGUUAAUAACCUCAUCGAUUGACGUUACCCGCAGAAGAAGCACCGGCUAACUCCGUGCCAGCAGCCGCGGUAAUACGGAGGGUGCAAGCGUUAAUCGGAAUUACUGGGCGUAAAGCGCACGCAGGCGGUCUGUCAAGUCGGAUGUGAAAUCCCCGGGCUCAACCUGGGAACUGCAUUCGAAACUGGCAGGCUAGAGUCUUGUAGAGGGGGGUAGAAUUCCAGGUGUAGCGGUGAAAUGCGUAGAGAUCUGGAGGAAUACCGGUGGCGAAGGCGGCCCCCUGGACAAAGACUGACGCUCAGGUGCGAAAGCGUGGGGAGCAAACAGGAUUAGAUACCCUGGUAGUCCACGCUGUAAACGAUGUCGAUUUGGAGGUUGUGCCCUUGAGGCGUGGCUUCCGGAGCUAACGCGUUAAAUCGACCGCCUGGGGAGUACGGCCGCAAGGUUAAAACUCAAAUGAAUUGACGGGGGCCCGCACAAGCGGUGGAGCAUGUGGUUUAAUUCGAUGCAACGCGAAGAACCUUACCUGGUCUUGACAUCCACAGAACUUUCCAGAGAUGGAUUGGUGCCUUCGGGAACUGUGAGACAGGUGCUGCAUGGCUGUCGUCAGCUCGUGUUGUGAAAUGUUGGGUUAAGUCCCGCAACGAGCGCAACCCUUAUCCUUUGUUGCCAGCGGUCCGGCCGGGAACUCAAAGGAGACUGCCAGUGAUAAACUGGAGGAAGGUGGGGAUGACGUCAAGUCAUCAUGGCCCUUACGACCAGGGCUACACACGUGCUACAAUGGCAUAUACAAAGAGAAGCGACCUCGCGAGAGCAAGCGGACCUCAUAAAGUAUGUCGUAGUCCGGAUUGGAGUCUGCAACUCGACUCCAUGAAGUCGGAAUCGCUAGUAAUCGUAGAUCAGAAUGCUACGGUGAAUACGUUCCCGGGCCUUGUACACACCGCCCGUCACACCAUGGGAGUGGGUUGCAAAAGAAGUAGGUAGCUUAACCUUCGGGAGGGCGCUUACCACUUUGUGAUUCAUGACUGGGGUGAAGUCGUAACAAGGUAACCGUAGGGGAACCUGCGGUUGGAUCACCU
Molecule: ribosomal RNA, 1528 nt
Filed under: Klebsiella variicola
Lineage: Bacteria; Pseudomonadati; Pseudomonadota; Gammaproteobacteria; Enterobacterales; Enterobacteriaceae
Description: bacterial SSU rRNA
Rfam family: Bacterial small subunit ribosomal RNA
Source: RNAcentral